RNAcentral lists this unclassified non-coding RNA (787 nucleotides) under Hevea brasiliensis (rubber tree). The record is from RNAcentral. Lineage: Eukaryota; Viridiplantae; Streptophyta; Magnoliopsida; Malpighiales; Euphorbiaceae.
CUGAACCAGAAGAGGUGUGUUUCGCGCGCUUCAAAGACUUCUUUUCAAGCUCCAUUUGGGCAUCCAUGAACAUGUUCAUCCUUUCGAAUUCUAGUUCCUUAGUGAACUCCAUUCUCUGCUUCUCUAGCUCCACCAUUUGCUGCUGCUUAGAGCUCUCGAUUCUCUCAUAUAUCUCCCCAAACUGCAAUAUAGCGCUCGCUAACUCCCUACACGCAGCUCCAUCGGAGAAAUCAACAUCCUCCAUUCGAUGCUGCUUCUUUAUUGUUCUUUCAUCAAACUCUAUAUCAUCGUCGUCCUCGUCUUUUUCGUCGUCGAACGAUGCCUCCGUGGAAUUUGAGACUCCUGAAUAAAAGCUCAGGCGUAAUGCGCAGCUUCGAUUUCACGGUGAAGGUGACGGCGGAAGCCUUCUUUUUGGGGUUGACAGUAGAGAUAGCCCCGAUGAGGGAAUCCAGCCGAUAAUAGAACGGCCAUUUGGACGGACGAGGUUUAGCUUUCUCGAGCUUAUACUUCUUCUUUAACAUAUCGAUUUGGUUCUUGCACUGGACGUCCGUUUUCCGUGACUCGACGUCUUUUGGACGGCCGUUGACUCUGUCGGCCACUUCCUUCGAGUCCUUCUGACGGAGAUUUCCGCGGUUUAGAUUUAAUGUAACAUUCUCCCCAUGCCUCUAUCAGAGUUUCCGUUGCCUCACAGCCGACGCCUCCGCCGAAUGCGGGGGAGUGGGUGGAGAGAUGGAGGGACCGGAUGGGGUCCAUGGGAAAGGGGGGAAAAGGAGUGUGGGGUUGGGGG